GCCGGGCGUGGUGGCGCACGCCUGUAGUCCCAGCUACUCGGGAGGCUGAGGUGGGAGGAUCGCUUGAGUCCAGGAGUUCUGGGCUGCAGUGCGCUAUGCCGAUCGGGUGUCCGCACUAAGUUCGGCAUCAAUAUGGUGACCUCCCGGGAGCAGGGGACCACCAGGUUGCCUAAGGAGGGGUGAACCGGCCCAGGUCGGAAACGGAGCAGGUCAAAACUCCCGUGCUGAUCAGUAGUGGGAUCGCGCCUGUGAAUAGCCACUGCACUCCAGCCUGGGCAAUAUAGUGAGACCCUGUCUCU
Molecule: signal recognition particle RNA, 299 nt
Filed under: Cavia porcellus (domestic guinea pig)
Lineage: Eukaryota; Metazoa; Chordata; Mammalia; Rodentia; Caviidae
Description: Metazoan signal recognition particle RNA (ENSCPOG00000036507.1)
Rfam family: Metazoan signal recognition particle RNA
About the family: The signal recognition particle (SRP) is a universally conserved ribonucleoprotein. It is involved in the co-translational targeting of proteins to membranes.
Source: RNAcentral